GCGUGGGUGACCUACCCCGAAGUGGGGAAUAACUGCCCGAAAGGGUGGCUAAUACCGCAUGUGAUCGUUCUUUCAUUUGAUCGAUCAAAGCAGAAAUGCGCUUUGGGAGGGGCCUGCGUCCGGUUAGCUCGUUGGUGGGGUAAUGGCUCACCAAGGCGACGAUCGGUAGGUGGUCUGAGAGGACGAUCACCCAGACUGGGACUGAGACGCGGCCCAGACUCCUACGGGAGGCAGCAGUCGGGAAUUUUGCUCAAUGGGCGCAAGCCUGAAGCAGCAACGCCGCGUGAGGGAUGAAGGCCU
RNAcentral lists this ribosomal RNA (300 nucleotides) under uncultured Chloroflexota bacterium. RNAcentral describes it as "bacterial SSU rRNA". It matches the Rfam family "Bacterial small subunit ribosomal RNA", at positions 115 to 417 of the family's 1533-position model. Lineage: Bacteria; Bacillati; Chloroflexota. The record is from RNAcentral.